Planococcus citri (citrus mealybug) is the source of this 1239-nucleotide long non-coding RNA. RefSeq lists it as uncharacterized. NCBI's taxonomy places the organism in Eukaryota, Metazoa, Arthropoda, Insecta, Hemiptera, Pseudococcidae. The record is from RefSeq and is a predicted model, not a curated record. The transcript is spliced from 2 exons.
CAGAAGGGAUAUAAGAGUAAGAUACGAGAGUUAUGACUUAUCAGGAUACUUUUAAUUUCAUUAUUGUGCCUUGAUCGGUUUCUUUAAUUUCUCAAGGAGACAGAAAAUAAGUCAGACGUGUCUUCCUACUUAUCUUAUUACAAUCAUAAUAAGUAAUACUCGUAAUAUGUACAUAUAUGAUGUUUUCUUUAUUCGAAUUUACCUAUCACUCAUUUGAAAUGUUUUUAAUUCAAAAAUAUUGCCAAUGAUAUAUUUUUAAAAACAAUUUACGAUUGUUUCAGGUCCCGAUGAGUGUUAGAAAUGUUUGCUAUACUUAUCGUAGCGAUAAUUUAACCGGCGAAUCUUGAAAUGAUAACGAAUGAAGCAUGAGAUAAGAAUACGCUGUUGCACAUCAAUCAAACACCUACCUAAACUAAACGCUCAAAGCCAUUAAUAGCGUCGAUUAAAAGCUGCUGACCAACACCCAACAUGUAUUCAUAGAGCAAAAUAACAACGAUCUUAUCCUAUCAAGACUGGAAUCACAAGGGCGAUCCUAUUUUAUAUGGUAAUUAGUUAAUUAGGAAUUAACUUACGUUGACCCAAUUACUGUGGCUGCAGACAUCGUCACAAGAUAAGGCGAUCAGUUUCACGUUUCUUUUUUUGAAUUCGUCGACAUGCACAGCCAUUCUGCCCAAUUCCGUCGUACAGACCGGAGUGAAAUCCAACGGAUGGGAGAAUAAAACAGCCCAUCUAUAAAGAACAAUAAAAGAUCUCAGUAUUUUUCACCAAAAGAGAAACUAGGAAGUAAUUGAAGAGCGUUUUUCUAAAAAUUUCAUCGUCAAUUCCUUUUGAAAAUGGAUACCAUGACCAUGGGAGCACAUCGGUUCCUAUCCGAGUUUCAAACUUUUUUUAAAACGAAUUUUUGGACAAGGUGAAUGAAAAAUUGGUGCACGUUUCUCCUUCACUUAUGAACCCGAAUUAGUAGGCUAUACCUUGUGGGAUUUUAGAAAAACGCUCUUCAAUUUUCAAUUUUAAUUAUUCAAAAAAUCUACUUACGAAUCUCCGACAUAAUCGUAGAAAUUGAAUUUACCGAAAGUAGUAUCGGCAGCGAAAUCAGGGAUGAUCGAGUUAAGACGCGGCAUUUUUAAACGAGUUUAUAAUAUUUUAACCAAGAGAACGUACGAAGUUAACGCGAUGUACGAACAAGCACAAGUGACAAUUACCGAAUGAAUUACCACCGUUUAAAUUCAAUUCAAAUAA